RNAcentral lists this ribosomal RNA (865 nucleotides) under uncultured archaeon. Its description in RNAcentral is "bacterial SSU rRNA". It matches the Rfam family "Archaeal small subunit ribosomal RNA", at positions 19 to 859 of the family's 1478-position model. The record is from RNAcentral.
GGACCCUACUGCUAUCGGGGUGGGACUAAAACAUGCGAGUCGAGCGUCUUCAGGCUAUGGUGAAGGCGCGGCGAACGGCUCAGUAACACGUGGCUAACCUACCCUUUGGACGGGGACAACCACGGGAAACUGUGGCUAAUCCCCGAUAGAUGAGGAGGCCUGGAAUGGUUUCUCAUCCAAAAGGCGUUUAGGCCAUGCUUCUAGGCGCCGCCAAAGGAUGGGGCCGCGGCCGAUCAGGUUGCUGGUGAGGUAACGGCUCACCAAGCCUAUAACCGGUACGGGCCGUGAGAGCGGGAGCCCGGAGAUGGGCACCGAGACAAGGGCCCAGGCCCUACGGGGCGCAGCAGUUGCGAAAACUCCGCAAUACGCGAAAGCGUGACGGGGCUACCCCGAGUGCCGUCCGCUGAGGAUGGCUUUUCCACGGUGUAAGGAGCCGUGGGAAUAAGGAGAGGGCAAGUCUGGUGUCAGCCGCCGCGGUAAUACCAGCUCUCCGAGUGGUAGGGACGAUUAUUGGGCUUAAAGCGUCCGUAGCCGGCCCGGCAAGUCUCCCGUUAAAUCCAGCGACCUAAUCGUUGGGCUGCAGGAGAUACUGUUGGGCUAGGGGGCGGGAGAGGCCGACGGUAUUCCCGGGGUAGGGGUGAAAUCCUAUAAUCCCGGGAGGACCACCAGUGGCGAAGGCUGUCGGCUAGAACGCGCUCGACGGUGAGGGACGAAAGCUGGGGGAGCGAACCGGAUUAGAUACCCGGGUAGUCCCAGCUGUAAACGAUGCGGGCUAGGUGUUGGGGUGGCUACGAGCCACUUCAGUGCCGCAGGGAAGCCAUUAAGCCCGCCGCCUGGGGAGUACGGCCGCAAGGCUGAAACUUAA